GCCCUACUAGCUCAAUUGGAAGAGCAGCGUCCUACGAAGGCGCAGGUUAGAAGUUCGAAUCUUCUGUGGGGUG
This 73-nucleotide transfer RNA is filed under the name Vibrio phage KVP40 Japan/Matsuzaki /1991. It matches the Rfam family "tRNA". From Rfam's summary of the family: Transfer RNA (tRNA) molecules are approximately 80 nucleotides in length. Their secondary structure includes four short double-helical elements and three loops (D, anti-codon, and T loops). Lineage: Duplodnaviria; Heunggongvirae; Uroviricota; Caudoviricetes; Pantevenvirales; Straboviridae. RNAcentral also lists the same sequence under 1 other name. The record is from Rfam by way of RNAcentral.